RNAcentral lists this ribosomal RNA (401 nucleotides) under uncultured bacterium. RNAcentral's name for it is "bacterial SSU rRNA". It matches the Rfam family "Bacterial small subunit ribosomal RNA", at positions 356 to 774 of the family's 1533-position model. The record is from RNAcentral.
AGGGAAUCUUGGACAAUGGGCGAAAGCCUGAUCCAGCCAUGCCGCGUGAGUGAUGAAGGCCUUAGGGUUGUAAAGCUCUUUCGCCAGGGAAGAUAAUGACGGUACCUGGAUAAGAAGCCCCGGCAAACUUCGUGCCAGCAGCCGCGGUAAUACGAAGGGGGCUAGCGUUGUUCGGAAUUACUGGGCGUAAAGCGCACGUAGGCGGUUUUCCAAGUUGGAGGUGAAAUCCCUGGGCUCAACCCGGGAACUGCCUCCAAAACUGGAUGACUCGAGUCCGAGAGAGGUGAGUGGAAUUUCCAGUGUAGAGGUGAAAUUCGUAGAUAUUGGAAAGAACACCAGUGGCGAAGGCGGCUCACUGGCUCGGUACUGACGCUGAGGUGCGACAGCGUGGGGAGCAAACA